Molecule: ribosomal RNA, 1343 nt
Filed under: uncultured bacterium
Lineage: Bacteria
Description: 16S ribosomal RNA
Rfam family: Bacterial small subunit ribosomal RNA
Source: RNAcentral
GACGAACGUUGGCGGCGUGCUUAACACAUGCAAGUCGAACGGAAAGGCCCUGCUUUUGUGGGGUGCUCGAGUGGCGAACGGGUGAGUAACACGUGAGUAACCUGCCCUUGACUUUGGGAUAACUUCAGGAAACUGGGGCUAAUACCGGAUAGGAGCUCCUGCUGCAUGGUGGGGGUUGGAAAGUUUCGGCGGUUGGGGAUGGACUCGCGGCUUAUCAGCUUGUUGGUGGGGUAGUGGCUUACCAAGGCUUUGACGGGUAGCCGGCCUGAGAGGGUGACCGGCCACAUUGGGACUGAGAUACGGCCCAGACUCCUACGGGAGGCAGCAGUGGGGAAUAUUGCACAAUGGGCGGAAGCCUGAUGCAGCAACGCUGCGUGCGGGAUGACGGCCUUCGGGUUGUAAACCGCUUUCGCCUGUGACGAAGCGUGAGUGACGGUAAUGGGUAAAGAAGCACCGGCUAACUACGUGCCAGCAGCCGCGGUGAUACGUAGGGUGCGAGCGUUGUCCGGAUUUAUUGGGCGUAAAGGGCUCGUAGGUGGUUGAUCGCGUCGGAAGUGUAGUCUUGGGGCUUAACCCUGAGCGUGCUUUCGAUACGGGUUGACUUGAGGAAGGUAGGGGAGAAUGGAAUUCCUGGUGGAGCGGUGGAAUGCGCAGAUAUCAGGAGGAACACCAGUGGCGAAGGCGGUUCUCUGGGCCUUUCCUGACGCUGAGGAGCGAAAGCGUGGGGAGCGAACAGGCUUAGAUACCCUGGUAGUCCACGCUGUAAACGGUGGGUACUAGGUGUGGGGUCCAUUCCACGGGUUCCGUGCCGUAGCUAACGCUUUAAGUACCCCGCCUGGGGAGUACGGCCGCAAGGCUAAAACUCAAAGGAAUUGACGGGGCCCCGCACAAGCGGCGGAGCAUGCGGAUUAAUUCGAUGCAACGCGUAGAACCUUACCUGGGUUUGACAUGGAUCGGGAGCGCUCAGAGAUGGGUGUGCCUCUUUUGGGGUCGGUUCACAGGUGGUGCAUGGCUGUCGUCAGCUCGUGUCGUGAGAUGUUGGGUUAAGUCCCGCAACGAGCGCAACCCUUGUUCACUGUUGCCAGCACGUUAUGGUGGGGACUCAGUGGAGACCGCCGGGGUCAACUCGGAGGAAGGUGGGGAUGACGUCAAGUCAUCAUGCCCCUUAUGUCCAGGGCUUCACGCAUGCUACAAUGGCUGGUACAGAGAGUGGCGAGCCUGUGAGGGUGAGCGAAUCUCGGAAAGCCGGUCUCAGUUCGGAUUGGGGUCUGCAACUCGACCUCAUGAAGUCGGAGUCGCUAGUAAUCGCAGAUCAGCAACGCUGCGGUGAAUACGUUCCCGGG